RNAcentral lists this ribosomal RNA (647 nucleotides) under uncultured bacterium. RNAcentral's name for it is "bacterial SSU rRNA". It matches the Rfam family "Bacterial small subunit ribosomal RNA", at positions 8 to 652 of the family's 1533-position model. The record is from RNAcentral.
AGAGUUUGAUCAUGGCUCAGAUUGAACGCUGGCGGCAUGCUUUACACAUGCAAGCCGAACGGUAACAGGCCGCAAGGUGCUGACGAGUGGCGAACGGGUGAGUAAUGCAUCGGAACGUGCCCAGUCGUGGGGGAUAACGCAGCGAAAGCUGCGCUAAUACCGCAUACGAUCUAUGGAUGAAAGCGGGGGACCGUAAGGCCUCGCGCGAUUGGAGCGGCCGAUGUCAGAUUAGGUAGUUGGUGGGGUAAAGGCUCACCAAGCCGACGAUCUGUAGCUGGUCUGAGAGGACGACCAGCCACACUGGGACUGAGACACGGCCCAGACUCCUACGGGAGGCAGCAGUGGGGAAUUUUGGACAAUGGGCGCAAGCCUGAUCCAGCAAUGCCGCGUGCAGGAAGAAGGCCUUCGGGUUGUAAACUGCUUUUGUACGGAACGAAAAGGCCCUGGUUAAUACCUGGGGCUCAUGACGGUACCGUAAGAAUAAGCACCGGCUAACUACGUGCCAGCAGCCGCGGUAAUACGUAGGGUGCAAGCGUUAAUCGGAAUUACUGGGCGUAAAGCGUGCGCAGGCGGUUUUGUAAGACAGGCGUGAAAUCCCCGGGCUCAACCUGGGAAUUGCGCUUGUGACUGCAAGGCUGGAGUGCGGC